AGAACGAACGCUGGCGGCAUGCCUAAUACAUGCAAGUCGAACGAACACUUCGGUGUUAGUGGCGCACGGGUGCGUAACGCGUGGGAAUCUGCCCUUGGGUUCGGAAUAACAGUUGGAAACGACUGCUAAUACCGGAUGAUAUCGAAAGAUCAAAGAUUUAUCGCCCAGGGAUGAGCCCGCGUAGGAUUAGCUAGUUGGUGAGGUAAAGGCUCACCGAAGGCGACGAUCCUUAGCUGGUCUGAGAGGAUGAUCAGCCACACUGGGACUGAGACACGGCCCAGACUCCUACGGGAGGCAGCAGUAGGGAAUA
RNAcentral lists this ribosomal RNA (310 nucleotides) under uncultured soil bacterium. RNAcentral's name for it is "bacterial SSU rRNA". It matches the Rfam family "Bacterial small subunit ribosomal RNA", at positions 26 to 363 of the family's 1533-position model. The record is from RNAcentral.